Molecule: ribosomal RNA, 253 nt
Filed under: uncultured bacterium
Lineage: Bacteria
Description: partial 16S ribosomal RNA
Rfam family: Bacterial small subunit ribosomal RNA
Source: RNAcentral
UACAGAGGGUGCGAGCGUUGUCCGGAAUUAUUGGGCGUAAAGAGCUCGUAGGCGGUUUGUCGCGUCUGCUGUGAAAACUCGGGGCUUAACCCCGGGCCUGCAGUGGGUACGGGCAGACUAGAGUGCGGUAGGGGAGACUGGAAUUCCUGGUGUAGCGGUGAAAUGCGCAGAUAUCAGGAGGAACACCGGUGGCGAAGGCGGGUCUCUGGGCCGUAACUGACGCUGAGGAGCGAAAGCGUGGGGAGCGAACAGG